CUUGUGUACGCUUCAUGUAAAACGACAUCAUGAACAUCAAAGUCGAUUCAAAAGAGUCAUGUGUCGGCUUCGUGUAAUUUCUGAUUUUCUUUUUCUUUUUUUUUUUCUUUUGGAUAGUCACACAUGUUGGGAGAUGUUGCUUCGAAACGUUUUUCUCAGCAAACAUGGGUGAUUUUCAUGCACUCGAUGAACUGAUGCACUUCCCAUUUUCUCUUGUGCAUCUUCGUGCCGCCCCCUUCUCGUUUAUGUUUAUUCUGAUUCAGAAAUCUUUGGAAAUUGACCAUAUAGUUCUUCUGGUGACAAUCAACAACCGCUCUCAAUAUAUCGCUGAAACAGUCUUCACGGUGAAGACUUUCAAUGUCGUCCCUUCUGAUAUACUAUUUUUUCUCCCGGAAUAACCGAAUAUUUGGAUGUUGAAUCCCUUAAAAUUGUGAACGAAGUUUACUCUCUUUUCUCUUGAAAUUGUCCAUGUACUCUCCGACGGUUUGCAUGUCAGGCCGUCUAAAACCAAAUCAAGCUAUUCUAACCCUCAAACGACGCAACUUACCAUUACGUCGAUCCAAUCCCAUUAUUUUCGUUUCUCCUUCAACGCCUCACUUUCUAUAUAAACCCUUUUUCUCUUCUACAAUAUUUAUACGUUUCCAAAUACGCCCACUUCACUCAACGUUUCAACAAGGACACCCAUAAAUUGGAUACACACACCCGCUGGGAGGCGCUCUGGUUUUGCAGAUUAGGUCUUCCUUUUGCAAUUCGACAUACGUUCAAUUCUGCAUCUUUUCAAUCACGUGGAAGACGUUUCCUUAAAUAUCUGGAAAUCGGAAUCAAAGAAGAACGGCUCAACUUUUCUUUCUUCCGUUACCUUCUACAGAGGGAGAGUAACAAAAUUGGAACUAUUGGAUGAUAAAACUUAGGAAAAGGCAAUUGUCUCUUCUUCUAUUCCACACCAAAUUGGAUUUCUUAACCACAGAGGUAUGAAUUACUUGUCACAUUCCGCUUUACCUAUGUUUACUGUCACAUUCCACUCCAUUUACAUUGUUAACAAGAAAUUUGUUCUAUGUAAUCGAAGAAAUGGAUGCCCAACUUAAGGUAACAUAAAAAGUUAUUGAAAACUGAAUCAAUUUUGUGGUAUUUUUUCUGGGAUGUGUGGAAAGGCUGAUAUAAUGUGCACACUUUCAUGUACUCCAGCCAAAAACACACAUUUUUGACAGCAAUUAAAAAAAAAAUAUUUCAUAGAGUCUCAAAGAUCAAGUGAUCUUUAAGCUGGACAUUUGGCACGACCAACAACUUACUUCAACCUAUUCAAAGUGAUCUUCUGCCAACCUUUCAUUCCCACAGGUACAUCUUCACUAACACUAAUUUCAUUCGAUUUUAAUUACUUGAGAUCGUUCUUGCUUCUCUUCUAUAUUAUACCAUGAUAUGCUCUCAUCUGAUGUGUGUAAUUGUCUUAAAACGUUUGUGAAUGAUUAUGGGUUAUUUGUGAAAGUAAUGAACAAUCUCUAUCGGAUCGAAUUGCAUGAAAUUUGUCAUGCUUCAUCAUUCUGAUUCAAUAUAGGUUCACAACCAUUGUGAUUUAUUAGUACCUUCCUGCAAAUUUGUGUAUGUACCUUGUACAGAAUCCCAUUUCCUCUCUCGUUCUUUUGUGUUAUGUUUGGUUAUUAACUUUUCAAAAGCAUAAUUCCCAAUGUUCAUGAAAGUUAGCGUCGUAUCCCAAACUAAAAUUGACCAUAUUUAUUCCAUAUUGCAUGUAGUUUUUUUGAUUCCUGAGCUUAACAUGAUGCUAUAUAAUCUAAAUAUUGAUUUAUAUCCAUUCAACCCACCAGAUAUAGGAGAAAUUGUUGUUUUCUUUUUUGAAAUUACAGCUUUUGGCAUAUCAAAUUUUCCCCAUGUUGUAGACUUAAUCGUGUUCUUGACCAUAAGAUAUGAUAUGGAUUAUCAUGUCACUGUUUUAUAAUUGAAAUUCUUUUGUUCCAAUAAAAUAUGAAUUUUUAACAGUUACAUUGCAUAUUUUGUGGUCGUCUAUGAUAUGGAUUAUUAUGUCAAGUUACAUGUUAAAUUGAUCAGCUCAAGUUUCAUGGGAAUAGGAAUGUACAUUCGUUUGUUUGUAUAAUAUAGCAUUGUACUUUCAUAUUCUUUUGCUAAUUUAGGUCUUUUAUGUUGAAAAUCUACCCAUUUAUAUCAUUAACAUUCCAAUUUUUUGUUAUUACACAAUUUGUUCAACAACUAUGAACCAAAUACCCAAAUUACCCUUAUGUGUUCAUGUUCAAGGCUUUUCAACGACUACUACACUGUAUAGACUCAAAUUUCUAAAAGAAGACUUUUUACCAUUCCUAUAAGAUUUUAGAUAUCUUUUUCUAUGUGUGUAUACAAAUAUGUGGAAACUUUGCACAACAACCAUAUUACAUACAUACACCACUAUUAAAGGCACUUGUAGUAAUGAUCUCUUACCUCCCUCUAAGCUUCAGCAGUUGAGAUUUAAUAUCAGUACAUAACAUAAUUUAUCAUUUAGCAUCUUACUUUCAUGUUUUUGUUUUGUUGACAUUUUAAAAUAGCUUUACCAGUACAAUGUUCUUAUUUUAAAGGUCACAUGAAUGUAAUUUCGUUUUGUUACCCAUAAUAGCAAUGUACAUCGAAUAAGGAUUACUUAUUAAUAAUUGCAAAAUACUUCAUUCCAAUAUACUUUAAUCUUUCUAAAUACCCAAUAGCCAUUCUCGGACCGUGCUUAGCACGGACCUCGGAAAAUACCUAAUAUAUAUAUAUAUAUAUAUAUAUAUAUAUAUAUAUAUAUAUAUAUAUAUAUAUAUAUAUAUAUUGUAAAUUACAUUUCCCCUAAAUAAGUUUACCCUAAAAACAUUCAUUCUUCCGGCCGAUAUUCUAGACUAUCGUUUCUAGUUUUUUUUUUUCCUGAAAUCGCAUACACCAAUUGUUGUGUUCAAUUUCUACAUUUCAAAGUACCAAUCUCUUGUAAUCGGAGAUUUCAUCAACUUCGUAGUGGCCUUACAGUGUAGCCACCCCACUACCACAAUUUCUUAAUAGCAUAAUCGGGAAUAAAUAAUAUGUUUGAAAUCCAAAAUCGAAAGGAAUACAAAUCCAAUUUCGUAAUAGUUAGUAGAGCAGAAAGAUACCUAAAAAGCGAUUUCAGUCCGUUGCUAAAGUUAUGAAGAAAAAAUGGCGUCCUUGUGGUCUAAUUUUGGAAUAUGUUGGCUGUCGGAUUUCAAUGAUGAAAAUAGGGCGAUGAUGAAGAAGAGCAGCAAAUCUCCAUAAUCAUAAAGCAUGAUGGUGGUUAUUGAGUCGAGUGUUGAAGAGUAUGUUGCAUUCAACAACAGCUUAGAGAAUCUCACAUGAUUUCUUUUCACAUCUUAUGAAAGAAAUAGUAUUGUUGAAGAUGAGAAAGCACAAUAAAACUCGACAAAGGGAAGGAAUGUGGAGGACGUGUUGAUGAUAAUGAAAUAUAAAUGGAGUCAAAAUAUUAAUUUCAAGUUGCUGAUUUUUUGGGAUUUCAUUGAAAUUUUGAAAAGAGUCAAAAUAAGAGAGGAUUUUUUACCAAACAAAUCAAACGUGAAUUGCUGUUGUUUUCAAAAAGCAUGGAAUUUAAAUUUAAAUUUAAAUGUUAUAAGAAACCCAAAAAUGCAAUAAGUUGAAAAAAAAAUCAGGAUUACAAUUUAAUUUUAAUGUAAUUUAAUUUUAAUAAGAAUAAGAAUUAUUCAUAAAAUGACACGUGGCAUGUUAGAAUGGUAGAAAGGGGACA
Lactuca sativa (garden lettuce) is the source of this 3745-nucleotide long non-coding RNA. RefSeq lists it as uncharacterized. Lineage: Eukaryota; Viridiplantae; Streptophyta; Magnoliopsida; Asterales; Asteraceae. The record is from RefSeq and is a predicted model, not a curated record.